RNAcentral lists this ribosomal RNA (497 nucleotides) under uncultured bacterium. RNAcentral describes it as "partial 16S ribosomal RNA". It matches the Rfam family "Bacterial small subunit ribosomal RNA", at positions 28 to 507 of the family's 1533-position model. The record is from RNAcentral.
GAUGAACGCUGGCGGCGUGCCUAAUACAUGCAAGUCGAGCGAACAGACGAGGAGCUUGCUCCUCUGACGUUAGCGGCGGACGGGUGAGUAACACGUGGAUAACCUACCUAUAAGACUGGGAUAACUUCGGGAAACCGGAGCUAAUACCGGAUAAUAUAUUGAACCGCAGGGUUCAAUAGUGAAAGACGGUGUUGCUGUCACUUAUAGAUGGAUCCGCGCCGCAUUAGCUAGUUGGUAAGGUAACGGCUUACCAAGGCAACGAUGCGUAGCCGACCUGAGAGCGUGAUCGGCCACACUGGAACUGAGACACGGUCCAGACUCCUACGGGAGGCAGCAGUAGGGACUCUUCCGCAAUGGGCGAAAGCCUGACGGAGCAACGCCGCGUGAGCGAUGAAGGUCUUCGGCUCGUAAAACUCUGUUAUUAGGGAAGAACAAAUGUGUAAGCAACUAUGCACGUAUUGACGGUACCUAAUUAGAAAGCCCCGGCUAACUACGUG